CUACUAAACCCAUAAAGGUCUCCACAAUUCCAUUGGAAUUAUGUUCUUAACACAAAUCCCAUCUGGGAACACACCCUUCUAGAAGACCCCUAUUGCCUAUAGAUGAACCUCCACAGUUCUCACUGCCAGCAAGGCCUUUUUCAUAACGCAGCCCCAUCUUUCCUGCCUUGACAUGUGGAACUGUCCAUCCAGAUUGUCUGUGUACUUGCACACCUCAUACUCUUGCCAUGGCUUGGGUUGAGUUGCCAUUCCUUGUCAAGUUUGCAAACUCCUGCAUAUCCUGUAAAGCUCCACUUAAACAUUAUAUCUCUUUUGCUUUCUGUGACUCUCCCAGGAAGAAUUAAUUGCUUCCACCAUGUGUCUUUCCUUAGCUCUUAUACCUUUUUUAUGGCAUUCUUUGCAUUUUAGGUCUUUAUGUAUUGAUGGUCUCUAUUGGCUAUAACUUGAGGGCAGGGACCAUGUCUUGAUUUAUCUUUGUGACCCCCACUUUGCAACUCUCCAUCAGGCACAAGGACUGACAUAGACUGUGUGUAUAAUAAAUGGCACUGAAAAGGCCAGAUUGCCCCAGAUGGAAGAAUAAUGAAAAACUUGCAGUAAACAGAAUAAUGGCCCUCCAAAGAUGUCCACAUCCCUAAUCCCCAGAGCCUGUGAAUGUUGCCUUUCAUGGCAAAAGGGACUUUGCAGGUGUUGUUACCAAACCAGGUUCAUUUUUGCCUGCCGCCCAGAAAGCCAAACACCGAGAUGACGAGACUGCAGCAGAGAGAGGGUUUACUCACAGGGCACUCAUGGGAGGAAGCGAGAACAGGAGCCUCGAAUUCGCUUCCCCGAAAAUAGGAACUCAGGGAUAUUUAUGGAAUAGGGGGCAAGGUGUUCUGAAAUGUGGAGCAAGGUGAUUGGAGGUGAGGAGAAGUGAGGUAACUGUUGAUCUGCACAAGCAUAGUCAGACUCCAUGUCUCUUUGUAGGACCCAUGCUCACAAAAUGGCGGCUUUAGCGUGAUCUGAGGGUGGAGCUUUUAGCCUGUUGGCAUCAAAAGGCCACCUAUUGGACAUCUGCAUGGGCCCAGGUGAUGAGUUGGUGGUCUCAACCUGCCUGGAGUGGACAAAGGGG
RNAcentral lists this long non-coding RNA (1108 nucleotides) under Equus asinus (donkey). RNAcentral's name for it is "lncRNA (ENSEASG00005031756.1)". The record is from RNAcentral. Lineage: Eukaryota; Metazoa; Chordata; Mammalia; Perissodactyla; Equidae.